This 234-nucleotide ribosomal RNA is filed under the name uncultured Candidatus Saccharibacteria bacterium. RNAcentral describes it as "partial 16S ribosomal RNA". It matches the Rfam family "Bacterial small subunit ribosomal RNA", at positions 584 to 818 of the family's 1533-position model. Lineage: Bacteria; Candidatus Saccharimonadota. The record is from RNAcentral.
UAAGUAGAUAGUGAAAGCGUUCGGCUCAACCGGAUAUACAUUAUCUAAACUGCAAAGCUAGAGGAUGAGAGAGGUUAUUGGAAUUCCCUGUGUAGGAGUGAAAUCCGUAGAUAUAGGGAGGAACACCGAUGGCGUAGGCAGAUAACUGGCUCAUUCCUGACACUAAGGCACGAAAGCGUGGGAGCAAACGGGAUUAGAUACCCCGGUAGUCCACGCCGUAAACUAUGGAUGCUA